AUACUCUGUUUUCUCUUCAGUUUGUAUAUAUCUUUUGCCUUUUACUAAAGAUUUCUAUGGAGAGGAACAUUUAUGAGUUUGUACCCAAUUUUUUGAGGCUUUGUUUUGGCAAGGCU
Gopherus agassizii (Agassiz's desert tortoise) is the source of this 116-nucleotide small nuclear RNA. Its record names the gene U5. It matches the Rfam family "U5 spliceosomal RNA". From Rfam's summary of the family: U5 RNA is a component of both types of known spliceosome. The record is from Ensembl. Lineage: Eukaryota; Metazoa; Chordata; Testudines; Testudinidae.